This 497-nucleotide ribosomal RNA is filed under the name uncultured bacterium. Its description in RNAcentral is "partial 16S ribosomal RNA". It matches the Rfam family "Bacterial small subunit ribosomal RNA", at positions 28 to 507 of the family's 1533-position model. The record is from RNAcentral.
GAUGAACGCUGGCGGCGUGCCUAAUACAUGCAAGUCGAGCGAACAGAUGAGGAGCUUGCUCCUCUGACGUUAGCGGCGGACGGGUGAGUAACACGUGGAUAACCUACCUAUAAGACUGGGAUAACUUCGGGAAACCGGAGCUAAUACCGGAUAAUAUAUUGAACCGCAUGGUUCAAUAGUGAAAGACGGUUUUGCUGUCACUUAUAGAUGGAUCCGCGCCGCAUUAGCUAGUUGAUAAGGUAACGGCUUACCAAGGCGACGAUGCGUAGCCGACCUGAGAGGGUGAUCGGCCACACUGGAACUGAGACACGGUCCAGACUCCUACGGGAGGCAGCAGUAGGGAAUCUUCCGCAAUGGGCGAAAGCCUGACGGAGCAACGCCGCGUGAGUGAUGAAGGUCUUCGGAUCGUAAAACUCUGUUAUUAGGGAAGAACAAAUGUGUAAGUAACUAUGCACGUCUUGACGGUACCUAAUCAGAAAGCCACGGCUAACUACGUG